This 87-nucleotide transfer RNA is filed under the name Clostridiales bacterium. RNAcentral describes it as "tRNA-Leu". It matches the Rfam family "tRNA". From Rfam's summary of the family: Transfer RNA (tRNA) molecules are approximately 80 nucleotides in length. Their secondary structure includes four short double-helical elements and three loops (D, anti-codon, and T loops). The record is from RNAcentral. RNAcentral also lists the same sequence under 3 other names. Lineage: Bacteria; Bacillati; Bacillota; Clostridia; Eubacteriales.
GCCGCUGUGGUGGAAUCGGCAGACACAAGGGACUUAAAAUCCCUCGGUAGCAAUACCGUACCAGUUCAAGUCUGGUCAGCGGCACCA